UACGGAGGAUGCAAGCGUUAUCCGGAAUUAUUGGGCGUAAAGCGUCCGCAGGUGGUUUUUCAAGUCUGCUGUCAAAGACGGGAGCUUAACUCCCGCAAGGCAGUGGAAACUGGAAAACUAGAGUUCGGUAGGGGUAGCGGGAAUUCCCAGUGUAGCGGUGAAAUGCGUAGAUAUUGGGAAGAACAUCGGUGGCGAAAGCGCGCUACUGGGCCGAAACUGACACUCACAGGACGAAAGCUAGGGGAGCGAAAGGG
RNAcentral lists this ribosomal RNA (254 nucleotides) under uncultured bacterium. RNAcentral describes it as "partial 16S ribosomal RNA". It matches the Rfam family "Bacterial small subunit ribosomal RNA", at positions 524 to 776 of the family's 1533-position model. The record is from RNAcentral.